CCUACGGGAGGCAGCAGUGGGGAAUAUUGGGCAAUGGGCGCAAGCCUGACCCAGCAACGCCGCGUGAUGGAAGAAGGCUUUCGGGUUGUAAACUUCUUUUGUCAGGGACGAAGCAUGUGACGGUACCUGGCGUAUACGCCACGGCUAACUACGUGCCAGCCGCCGCGGUAAUACGUAGGGGGCAAGCGUUAUCCGGAUUUACUGGGUGUAAAGGGCGUGUAGGCGGGACUGCAAGUCAGAUGUGAACACCACGGGCUAAACCUGUGGCCUGCAUUUGAAACUGUAGUUCUUGAGUACUGGAGAGGCAGACGGAAUUCCUAGUGUAGCGGUGAAAUGCGUAGAUAUUAGGAGGAACACCAGUGGCGAAGGCGGUCUGCUGGACAGCAACUGACGCUGAGGCGCGAAAGCGUGGGGAGCAAACAGGAUUAGAUACCCUGGUAGUC
RNAcentral lists this ribosomal RNA (443 nucleotides) under uncultured bacterium. RNAcentral describes it as "partial 16S ribosomal RNA". It matches the Rfam family "Bacterial small subunit ribosomal RNA", at positions 338 to 795 of the family's 1533-position model. The record is from RNAcentral.